RNAcentral lists this unclassified non-coding RNA (255 nucleotides) under uncultured Xylariales. RNAcentral's name for it is "sequence contains 5.8S rRNA gene, ITS2, 28S rRNA gene". The record is from RNAcentral. Lineage: Eukaryota; Fungi; Ascomycota; Sordariomycetes; Xylariales.
AACGCACAUUGCGCCCAUUAGUAUUCUAGUGGGCAUGCCUGUUCGAGCGUCAUUUCAACCCUUAAGCCUAGCUUAGUGUUGGGAAUCUACUUCUCUUAGGAGUUGUAGUUCCUGAAAUACAACGGCGGAUUUGUAGUAUUCUCUGAGCGUAGUAAUUUUUUUCUCGCUUUUGUUAGGUGCUAUAACUCCCAGCCGCUAAACCCCCAAUUUUUUGUGGUUGACCUCGGAUCAGGUAGGAAUACCCGCUGAACUUAA